UUCGGUUGUCUUUCAAGGAGUUUGCUCGUGAUGAAAUGGCGACAUCAGGCUGCGUGAUGGAGUGUCAAAAUUGAGGGAAGCAAAUUGAAGUCAUCCUUCACCAUUUGACCGACUCAGAUUAAGUCUGAGGCCGGUAACAUCAACAGUGAGGACAAACGCAGGCCUCCUCUCUCCUUCCACACUGAGUCCAAACCUACAGUCACCGAGUCCUGAUUGUGACAGUGGAGCCCAGUUUGCACUGCAGGAUCCAGAGAUGGCAUCAGUGAAACUGGAAGACUGCAGUCAAACACUGGAGCUGAAUGUCAACAUUAAAGAUGAAGAAGAGGAGGAGAAGAUUCGGACAACUGUUAGUCAUGGAUACCACGUUGAGACAUUCUCUACACCCAGAGAGCAACAGCAGGAAGAUCAGAGAGCUAAGAGGUCUCAUCACUGCCCACAUUGUGAAGAGAUUUUCCCAUUUCUAUCAAAGCUAAAAAUACACCUAAAAAUACACACAGGAGAGAAGCAAUACUCCUGCUCUGACUGUGGAAAAUGCUUCACAACGUCAACUCAUCUAAAAGUUCAUCAGAGAACACACACAGGAGAGAAGCCUUUCUUCUGCUCUGACUGUGGGGCGAGUUUCUCUCAUCUGGGCACCUUAAAAACACACCAACGUAUACACACAGGAGAGAAGCCUUACGUCUGCUCGGACUGUGGAACUCGUUUCUCUCAACUUUCCCACUUAAAAUCACAUGAACGUAUACACACAGGAGAGAAGCCCUAUUUCUGCUCUGACUGUGGAAAAUGUUUUAAAACAUCAAAUGAGCUAAAAGUUCAUCAGAGAACACACACAUGAGAGAUGCCUGCUUACGUCUUCUCUGAUUAUUGGGUGAGUUUCUCUCACCAUAGCAACUUAACACACCAAUGUAGUCACACAGGGGAGAAGCCUUACUCUGUGGAGAGGUGGGCUUGUAAGUCAAACGUCUAGCCAAAUGCUGCGUGUUUGAAUCUCAUCAGGGAGGACUUUAGCAUUUUAACUAAUUAGCAACUUUGCAACUUCUUACUACUUUUUACCUAUGUCAGCAUGUUAACUUAGCAUUCAACUACUAAGCAUGUUAGCUACCCUUUCCCCUAAACCCAUUUAACUCCUUAAACCCCUCACCCCUAACCAAGCUAACGUUAGCAACAACAAAUUGGAAUUCGUAACAUAUCAUACAUAUUACAAGUUCGUAACAUAUUGUAUGAAUAGCAAUGCGUAAAAUAGCAUACGAAUUGUAAUUCUUAACAUACAAUACAUCCUACAAGUCGUAUUAUACUGAACAACAAUCUAAACGCAACAAUUUCAAAGAUUUACAGUAUGUAUAAGGAAAUCAGUCAAUUGAAAUAAAUGAGGCCCCAAUCUAUGGAUUUCACAUGACUGGGCAGGGGCUCAGGCAUAGGCCCACUUGGGAGCCAGGCCCAGCCAAUCAGCAUGAGUUUAUCCCCACAAAAGGUCUUUAUUACAGACAGAAAUAUUACUCAGCCCCCUCCCAGACAAUCCUGCAGGUGAAGAGGUACUGGGCUGCCUUGGUUACAUGUGAUCUGCAGUUGUGAGGCCGGUUGGAUGUCCUGCCAAAUUCCCUAAAAGGAUGUUAGAGGUGGCUAAUGGUAGAGAUAUAAAUAGUUCUCUGGCAACAACUCUGGUGGACAUUCCUGCAGUCAUCAUGACAAUUGCACAUACCCUGAACUUGAGACAUCUGUGACAUUGUGUUGUGUGGCCUUUUAUUGUCCCCCAGCACAAGGUGCACUUGUGUAAUGAUAAUGCUGUUUUAUCAGCAUAUUGAUAUGCCACACCUGUCAGGUGGAUGGAUUAUUUUGACAAAGGCUGAAAUGCUCAUGAACAGGGAUGUAAACAAAGUUGUGCACAACAUUUGAGAGACGUUAGCUGACGUUGAUGGAUUGCUGGAUUUUUUUUUUUCAUCUCAUGAAACCAACACUUUAUGUUUAGUUUAUAUUUUAGUUCAGUUUAUCAGGUAAACAAAGGUUCAAUAACAUACUAAAUGGAUGGGUGUUUUUGUAUAAUAGAAUACGUUUUGCUCUGAGACCAGGUUGUCCCUCUGCAGUAUUCUGUGGGAAGGAGCUAUUUUACAAUUUUUUAAAUGUAUUUAUUGAACCUUUGUUUAACUAGGCAAGUCAGUUAAGAACAAAUUCUUAUUUACAAUGAUGGCCUAGGAACAGUGGGUUAACUGCCUUGUUCAGGGUCAGAACAACAGAUUUUUACCUUGUCAGCUCGGAAUUCGAUCUAGUAACCUUUUGUUUUCUGGCUCAAUGCUCUAACCACUGUGGGAGAAAGAUGUACAUAUAUGAAGGAACAUAAUACUGUAACACAAGAGAAAGAUGCACGUAUAGAGUGCAUUUGCCAUUCUGGUAAAAUGCAUUGUCUAUUGUAUAGGACAGGAGGCCAGAGUAAGGCCAUGAGAGUACAGCUGAACAUUAAACAGACCACACGAAGGGAAGGCGACACAUAGGCGCCUAGGGCAACUGGACACACUAAAAAUAGAGGAGACACACAGUCUGCUGAUCCAAGAUAAAGACACACAUACAAAGGAACACAUUGAGCUAAAUACAGGGCCCAAGCAUAGGCCUGUAGAAUAGAGGAAUGUAUAGUAUUUUUAGUAUAGCUGGACACGCUAAAAACAGAGGAGACACAUAGUCUGCUGAUCCUAGAUAACACACGUACAAAAUAACGCAUUAAGCUAAGUGCAUGGACAAAGCAAGGGUCUUGUCACCAUUAUUAUCUGACGGAAAGCAUAUUUGGGCGUGAACAAGCAGGAUGCACAGAUUGGGAUGUAUGUAUUUGCAUGUGGGAUGGACUCAUAUGUUGUAUGUGUAUAAAUCAGAGCGAGUGCUCUGAAAAAGGUGUGUGUUCCGCGGACCACUCCGGCUUGCAAUACGUUGUAUGAAAAGCCUAUUGAUUUCACAAGUUCUUGCAAGUGUCAUAUUUGAACCGAUUUUCCACGACACCACUAGGCUAUCACUUUUCACCAUUAGUUUGGGGGGGAUUGUUUUACAACUUAAUUUAAUGAUACACAGCUUCUGAAAUGAAUACAUGUGCUUAUUAAUUGUCUUUAAAACUAGAUACGUUUAUUUUAGUUACUGAUCAUGAAUGUGUUUGGAUAACUGCAUUGAAGCAAACUUUAUUGAUCUGCCAAUGAAAAAUAAAGUUACAUGAAUAUGUA
Molecule: long non-coding RNA, 3197 nt
Organism: Oncorhynchus masou masou (cherry salmon)
Lineage: Eukaryota; Metazoa; Chordata; Actinopteri; Salmoniformes; Salmonidae
Exons: 3
Source: RefSeq, a predicted model, not a curated record